CAGCAGCCGCGGUAAUACGAAGGGUGCAAGCGUUAAUCGGAAUUACUGGGCGUAAAGCGUGCGUAGGUGGUGGUUUAAGUCCGUUGUGAAAGCCCUGGGCUCAACCUGGGAAUUGCAGUGGAUACUGGGUCACUAGAGUGUGGUAGAGGAUAGUGGAAUUUCCGGUGUAGCAGUGAAAUGCGUAGAGAUCGGAAGGAACAUCUGUGGCGAAGGCGACUAUCUGGGCCAACACUGACACUGAGGCACGAAAGCGUGGGGAGCAAACAGGAUUAGAUACCCGAGUAGUCCCUGUCUCUUAUAC
This 301-nucleotide ribosomal RNA is filed under the name uncultured bacterium. RNAcentral describes it as "partial 16S ribosomal RNA". It matches the Rfam family "Bacterial small subunit ribosomal RNA", at positions 509 to 807 of the family's 1533-position model. The record is from RNAcentral.